AAGUUCGUAGCGGCAUCUCGGCAGUGAUUGCGUAUUAGGUUCCUGCUUAAAAUCUCACUGUUUAUUACCAGAUGGAGGCGAACGAAGUAAUGAUCGACGACUGCGAGGCGAGUUUUUCUGGUGAGUGGCGGGUUUAGAAUGGCCCCACGCUUGGUGCACAAAUGGAUGAGCCACUCGAUCUCUGUGUACAUCGCCAUUCAGAUGCUAGUUCUCCGGUGGUUCUACGUGACUGCACCAACACUAUGAGGGAAGACCAGGUUGAUGAGUUCUUUGUUUCUCCUCCAACUCCAAAGCGCAACCCAACGCAUCGAAAUUAUGUCAAUCGCACGCAUAUCGUGUUAACGGCUGCCGAAAGGCUGAAAGAAAUGCGGAUUUUUGAAGAAAGAAAAAGCAACAAACAUAAUUUAAGAAGAAAAGAGCGGAAAUGCGCGAAAUUCGUAAGAAAGAAAAAGAGAGGGAGGCAGAAGAAAGGAAAAGAAGAAGCUGUUGAGGGAAAAGGAAAAACAACUGAUGAUUCAGCUGAAAGAAGAGAAAGCAUUAAAGAGGAAACAAGUAAAGGAAAAGAAAGAGUUUGAGAAAAAUAAUAAAAGCAAAAGUUAGCGAAAAUGUUACUCUAACAACUUGAAAUUGAUUAUUGAGCAACAAAUGCUGUAAGAGUUCGUAGAUCGAGAUAAGGCAGCACAGAUACAAGUAAAAUUGUUGUUUCAAAAACGAUAAACAUUACAAAUAAUAAAAAUCAGAAAAGAAAAACUAGCAAAAUGAUAAU
Aedes aegypti (yellow fever mosquito) is the source of this 766-nucleotide long non-coding RNA. RefSeq lists it as uncharacterized. NCBI's taxonomy places the organism in Eukaryota, Metazoa, Arthropoda, Insecta, Diptera, Culicidae. The record is from RefSeq and is a predicted model, not a curated record. The transcript is spliced from 3 exons.